GUGGCCUUGUGGUUAGGGCGUCCGCCUCUGAUGCCGGAGGUUGCGCGUUCGAACCCCGGUCGCCUCA
Non-coding RNA from Potamilus streckersoni, 67 nucleotides. Lineage: Eukaryota; Metazoa; Mollusca; Bivalvia; Unionida; Unionidae. The record is from the annotation of a GenBank genome assembly.